CAUAUGAGUUGUUGCGGACCAUGUUGUUAGUGAUUGGUGGCUACUUUUGUGUGGCAAACUGUCAUUAUAACAAUCCUUUCAGUUUCUUCGUUCACCAUAAUAAUGUGGACCUUGAUUGUGGCUCUGUAAUAGUUGCUUGUGGCGAGAAUCCUAAUCUGGGUGGUAUUUAUGGUCGUUGAUGCUUCCUGGAUAGCCUCUAUUUGCCUUUGAGGCAGGGGGACUGUUCUGUGGAAUGUGAUCCCUCCAAUCUCAGGUUCGAGUUGUGUCCCAGGACAUUCUCGUUUCUGAGAUGUGGAAUGAGGGUCUCAUCCUAUUGGUGCAAAUGUGGCUCCUUGAAAUCGGGUCUUGGUGUUUCUGCACCUUGCUCGGGUGGAUUUAUCCAAUCGAUUGUGCCUUCAUCCUCCGUGCGACUCUGGUCUCUUUCCCCUCCUGCCAUAUUACGUGUAUGGCUGCGGUGGGGUGGAGAUCAUGGUUGCGUUGAGGACGUGCUACCUGGUUGAUCCUGCCAGUAGUCAUAUGGCUUGUC
This 526-nucleotide unclassified non-coding RNA is filed under the name Eulophia alta. RNAcentral describes it as "partial contains external transcribed spacer and 18S ribosomal RNA". Lineage: Eukaryota; Viridiplantae; Streptophyta; Magnoliopsida; Asparagales; Orchidaceae. The record is from RNAcentral.